Long non-coding RNA from Rana temporaria (common frog), 364 nucleotides. RefSeq lists it as uncharacterized. The transcript is spliced from 2 exons. Lineage: Eukaryota; Metazoa; Chordata; Amphibia; Anura; Ranidae. The record is from RefSeq and is a predicted model, not a curated record.
UGUCUCUUCCACUUGGGUCACUUUCCAGAUAUCUUUUGGCUGUGAAUAGAUCGGGAUAAACAUAGCAAAUACAGCUCCAACAUCAAUGAUAAAGCAGUCCCCGGUAUUAAAGCUGGACCAACUGAAUGGCACCUCUGUAGCUCGGAUCACCCUGCGACCUUUAACAUGUAGAAGUCUCUUAGCGGAAAGAUCAUUGGUGACCACAUGGGUGAAGCCAGAGGCCACCCCACCUGCCUAAAAAAAACAAAAAAACAACAUUAGUGCAUUUUACUCAAUUAUUUUCACAGUCAUGACAAAUUUUCCUGCCCUCUGAGAAAGGAACCUAUAUAGUCAACCUCCACUGAUUAAAGAAUUGCAAAGAUAA